AUGGAGAUGGACUUUCUGGGCCCACGAUCGGCGCCGCGGCAUGCGAUGCCGCUCGUGGCGCGACGCGAUGCCGAGGACGACGGCGAGCCCUGGCGUCUCGCUUCACCGGCACACUUCGCGUACCCGGACGUGCGCGCGGCGGCGGCUCAUCGCCACCACCCGACGGCGCCGUCGUACCAGAUGCACGCGCCGCCGCCGCUGCAUCCCCAGGCCUUCCCGUGCGCCAUUCCCGCCUCGUCCCUGCAAGGCCCGCAGGUAGUCCACCGUGCUGCGUACUCGCCUGAUCGGAGGUGCUCCGCCGCGCAGCUGACGAUAUUCUACGCAGGUUCAGUCCAUGUGUUCGACAACGUGACGAAGGAAAAGGCCGAGCAGAUCACGUUCAUGGCCGCGAAGGCAGCUCAAGCAGGCCGCAGCCCUCCCCUUCGUCGGGCGCUGCGGCAAUCGGAAUCUGCUCCGGUCCCCGACGAGAGAAAGCAGAUGCCAUUGGCGAGAGCUUGCAGCGAUCCUGUGCACCCUUCGCCACAGGCAUUUUUCAUGCUGCCGCAUAGAGAUGUUCCGCUGGCCAGGAGUGCGUCCCUUGCCCGCUUCCUCGAGAGACGCAAGCGAAAGGAAAGGACAGCAAAUGCAGCAACGCCUUACUCUCGCAGGGAGAUAUCCCCUGGUAGCGUGGACACUUUCCGCAUGGUCUCGCCAGGAAGCACAACACUAUCCGGCAACACCGAACUGUCAUGGUUCUUCGGAGAUGAAAAGCUGGGAAGCCGCGACGAGGAGGCGCUGGACACGGAGCUCAAGAUGUAG
Molecule: ribosomal RNA, 798 nt
Filed under: Triticum aestivum (bread wheat)
Lineage: Eukaryota; Viridiplantae; Streptophyta; Magnoliopsida; Poales; Poaceae
Description: partial small subunit ribosomal RNA
Source: RNAcentral